AGCAGCCGCGGUAAUUCCAGCUCCAAUAGCGUAUAUUAAAGUUGUUGCAGUUAAAAAGCUCGUAGUUGAAUUUCGAGAUCAAAUUGUUGGUCGUGCCUUGGUACGCACUGGCAUUAUUGGUUUCUCCCUUCUGACGAACCAUGAUGUCAUUAAUUUGGUGUCUUGGGGAAUCAGGACUGUUACUUUGAAAAAAUUAGAGUGUUUAAAGCAGGCUCACGCUUGAAUACAUUAGCAUGGAAUAAUGAAAUAGGACGUUUGAUUCUAUUUUGUUGGUUUCUAGGAUCGACGUAAUGAUUAAUAGGGAUAGUUGGGGGCAUUAGUAUUCAAUUGUCAGAGGUGAAAUUCUUGGAUUUAUUGAAGACUAACUACUGCGAAAGCAUUUGCCAAGGAUGUUUUCAUUAAUCAAGAGCGAAAGUUAGGGGAUCGAAGACGAUCAGAUACCGUCGUAGUCUUAACCAUAAACUAUGCCGACUAGGGAUCGGAUGAUGUUAAUUUUUAANGA
Molecule: ribosomal RNA, 502 nt
Filed under: uncultured Glomus
Lineage: Eukaryota; Fungi; Glomeromycota; Glomeromycetes; Glomerales; Glomeraceae
Description: SSU rRNA
Rfam family: Eukaryotic small subunit ribosomal RNA
Source: RNAcentral